RNAcentral lists this ribosomal RNA (251 nucleotides) under Aeromicrobium erythreum. RNAcentral's name for it is "partial 16S ribosomal RNA". It matches the Rfam family "Bacterial small subunit ribosomal RNA", at positions 73 to 325 of the family's 1533-position model. The record is from RNAcentral. Lineage: Bacteria; Bacillati; Actinomycetota; Actinomycetes; Propionibacteriales; Nocardioidaceae.
GGCCCUUUCGGGGGUACACGAGCGGCGAACGGGUGAGUAACACGUGAGCAACCUGCCCUUCUCUUUGGAAUAAGCGUUGGAAACGACGUCUAAUGCCGAAUAUGACCCCCUGUCGCAUGGUGGGGGGUGGAAAGCUCUGGCGGAGAAGGAUGGGCUCGCGGCCUAUCACCUUGUUGGUGUGGGUAAUGGCCCACCAAGGCGACGACGGGGACCCGGACUGAGAGGGUGACCUGCUACUUUGGGUCUGAGAC